GACGGAAGGUGCAAGCGUUGCUCGGAAUCACUGGGCGUAAAGGGCGCGUAGGCGGCCCGCUAAGUCGAACGUGAAAUCCCCGAGCUCAACUCGGGAACUGCGUCCGAUACUGGUGGGCUUGAAUCCGGGAGAGGGAUGCGGAAUUCCAGGUGUAGCGGUGAAAUGCGUAGAUAUCUGGAGGAACACCGGUGGCGAAGGCGGCAUCCUGGACCGGCAUUGACGCUGAGGCGCGAAAGCCAGGGGAGCAAACGGG
RNAcentral lists this ribosomal RNA (253 nucleotides) under uncultured bacterium. RNAcentral describes it as "partial 16S ribosomal RNA". It matches the Rfam family "Bacterial small subunit ribosomal RNA", at positions 524 to 776 of the family's 1533-position model. The record is from RNAcentral.